This 436-nucleotide long non-coding RNA is filed under the name Panax ginseng (ginseng). RNAcentral's name for it is "long non-coding RNA (PGIN_LNC016053)". Lineage: Eukaryota; Viridiplantae; Streptophyta; Magnoliopsida; Apiales; Araliaceae. The record is from RNAcentral.
UUUAACUUUCCUUGUAUCCGAAGCAUUCGUCUUAAUCUGCAAUGUUUUAUCAUGAUAUAGCAAGGGUGAGCAUGAAAGUUGCCCAGCAAGUUUAAAUACAAUUUAAGGAUAUAUCAUGAUUGAAAGAUUUAGAAUAAUAAGCUGGCUAUAAUUCACAAUGUAGUUGUGAAUUAGCAUGAACAAACUUUUGACUGAACAAGUAUUACAUAUGAACAAUAUAUAUCUGGACCAACUGGUAAUGAAGGUGAUCAGCCUUUCAUACCUGACUUAUACAUACAAGAUGUACAGAGUACAAUUCUACAUGGCAAUCAGCAAUGAUUAACCAUAAGCAUAUCUGAAUAAAACACUCUUAGUAGAGUUAAGUAGAACUUGCCUGAACCGUUGAUUACCGAUACGAAAUAUAACUUAGCUUAUCCGAAGACCUAAUACAGAUAAU